Molecule: non-coding RNA, 30 nt
Filed under: Mus musculus (house mouse)
Lineage: Eukaryota; Metazoa; Chordata; Mammalia; Rodentia; Muridae
Source: RNAcentral
UGAAGAGGUUGAAGUCUUGUAUGGUGUGGU